RNAcentral lists this unclassified non-coding RNA (2782 nucleotides) under Eurytemora carolleeae. RNAcentral's name for it is "uncharacterized LOC111712756". Lineage: Eukaryota; Metazoa; Arthropoda; Copepoda; Calanoida; Temoridae. The record is from RNAcentral.
CAAGCCUCUAUUUAUCCAGACAAAGUAAAUCUAACUCAGUAAAACUCUACUGCAACUGGAAAGCUUGAAAUCUUAGAAAGCUGGAAAGUUCAUAAUUGUGAGCUGGGGAAAGUAGUUCGCGCUCUCUUCUAGAGAGAAAGGUGCGAAAUCACAACAAGUCUGUGGAAAAAAUGUAAACUCUGAAAAGUUUAGAAAUAAAUUAAAGUGAAACCCAGCAUAGGAGAAGGUGGAGUUAAUAAUGGAGGACGAGGAGAAUUCUCAGGGUACUGAAACUCAUGUUUACAGGGUAGAGGAGUUCAAUACAGACCUUAGUUCUCCGUCUAGAUCUGGCAGUAAUAUAAACAAACAAUCCCAUAUUAUAGUUUCAUCCAACGGGAAUAUUAUUCCUGUAUCUUCUCAUGUUAUUGUUACAUCGGGGGGACAAUUUACUCUUUCAAAUAACAAAUCUAUAGAUCUCAUUGGAGAAGAGUUUGUCUCCAAGCUUAAGUCUGAACCUGAGCAGGAGGAAGAUAAAAGAUCUCCAGUAGUGAUGAGUAUUGCUUCUAUGAACACAGAAACCAACACAGUGAGUGCCGGAGGAGAGCAGAGUCAUCUUGUCUACUGUAACCUGAAUGAUCUAGAUCUCUCCGGGUCUGGAGAAACAUACAGUCUUGCUUCCCUUCACAGUCUGGCGGAGGCAAGCAGCACGGUUCAGCAGCAGGAGAGGAAUUCAUACUCUAACGUCUCUACAAUCCUUCUUCAGGGUGGAAUACUCCAGUUGAAGGGAGAGGGUGGAGGGGGACUGGUUUCUGGUUCUGGUCAAGAUCAGAUUUUAAUGACAGUCGAUUCUAAGUUUGGGAGCCCGCAAGACAGGAUGGUUCCAUCUACUCAGAUUGUUACUGUUGGAGAUAGUACACAGCACACCCGACCUCAGGAUGCUAUUGCAAGUAUUCUGGCGAGCAUGAACUCUCAGGGACUAGAGACAACUGUGAGCUCCGGGAACCCUGUAGAUUACAGCACAGCUGUUUCCGAGGUUGAUGAGGUCGUUACCCUGGAUCAACAACAUUUCGAGGACAGGAGGGAGGUCCUUCCCCUCAACCUCGCUACUACUAGUCCGUCGCAGGGAACUUUUAUUCAAACAUCACAAGGACUUCAGUUACACGGGAUAAAGAAGAUCGGACAGUCGACACCUGGAGGUCUAGUCACCAAAAAAGUAAUCAUCGCAACUAUAAAUGGGACCCAAAGAAUACUAACCCCUGUCUCAAGUCCGCAGAUUAUAUCUAUGAAACCCACUUCUCGAUUCUUGUCGGAUGGAACACUAGUGAACGGUUCGAGUCCUAUCAUGAUUCAGAAACCAGGUUUACAGUUUCACAAACCUAAACAGUAUAGUCCUCCCAUCCUAUCCUCCAGAUCUACAGACAAUAAAACAUGCUUGUGGAAAUUCGAGAACGGACAGGUGUGUGGAAAAGUAUUUACGAAAACCUACAACCUAACAGUGCACAUGAGAAUGCACCAGGAUAUCAGGCCUUUCCCGUGUUCGAUCUGUGAACAAACAUUUAGACAAAAGGCACACUUGCAACGCCACGAGGCAACUCAUGGUAUUGAUUCUACGGCUAACAGAAAAAGACGAAAGCGUCCAAUGAUAGACGAUUUUAACGAUAUAAACAGAAGAGCAGAUAAUGAAAGUGACGAAGAUAUGUAUCGGUCUUUUGGUGAGGUUAAACGGAAGUUUUCCGUCGGAACCAUGAAGAAUGAGGAGGAGGAGGAGGAUGAGAUGGAUGUUGAUCCAAUGAUUGAACCCAUCGACGGAUCUCAGAUUGAAAGGAAGCAGGUCUGCCCGGUGAAUGUCGGAACAAACACCGAGGUGACACGGCAUGAUGUAUCUGAUGAGAUAGAGGAGAGUAAUCUAGAACCUGUUAGAUACCGACCCAACCCGGCCAGUCGGGGAGUAGAACAAGGAGUUCAGUAUAGUGAGGAGGAUCUUAUUUUACCAGACUCAGGAUACCAGGAGAUGGAGAUGAAGUACUCUAGAUCUGAAGAGACUCUAGAGAAACAGGAGAUUCGUUAUAUCCAUCCUUCUAAAUCUGUUUUGAAAACGGAGGACGGAGUUGUGGAGGUCGGAGAGGACGAGGUCUAUUCUAGUCAACAGGUUUACUCAGUUCAACAAGGAGAGCUUGAAGAAACCCAGCUCAUCACACAAACCUCAGACGGAUCCUACAUAGAUACUUCAGGGAACCAGAUAGUGAUGUCCCAGGAUGGAGAACUCGUCGGUUUUGUUCCUGUUGAGGGGGAUCAGAGUCAGGUUGUAAAUAUCAGCACAACCACAAACGAGCACGGGCAGCAGGUUGUGAUCAUUGAGAACCUUCAUCAUCAUAGUCCUGAGCUACAGAGGGAGAUCAUGAACGCUCUUAUUUCAGACAGUAGUCUUGUUCCUCUCACUAAUUCAUAAACAGAUCUGAGUUCUCUCACAUAGUUAUUUAUUUCGACUCUAGAGUUGAACUAUUAGACCCAAUCUAAAAAUGAAUUAAAGAACAUUUGAUGAAUUCAAAGUGUUUAGAAGCUAAACCAAGAAAUCUAUGUUUUACAUUUUUGCCAAAUUGACUGAUUUAAAGUGACAUUGUUUUGUUUUGUUAAUUCAAGUCCUAGAACAAUUGUUAAGGUAUUAUGUAACCCUGUAUAUUUACUAAUUUAAAAAAGGGUCUCUCUUACUUAACGCUAGUUUCGCCUUUAUGGACGUGCGUCCAGCAUGCCUAGAAAAUUAUUAUAUGUUCAAAAUAUAUUUAAUAUUAUGAAAUCAUAAAAA